UUGGAGGGCAAGUCUGGUGCCAGCAGCCGCGGUAAUUCCAGCUCCAAUAGCGUAUAUUAAAGUUGUUGCAGUUAAAAAGUUCGUAGUUGAAUUUCGGGAUCAAUGUUUCGGUCAUGCCGUUGGUAUGUACUGAUAUUAUUGGUUUCUCACCUUCUAAAGAACCGUAAUGCCAUUAAUUUGGUGUCACGGGGAAUUAGGACUGUUACCUUGAAAAAAUUAGAGUGUUUAAAGCAGGCUCACGCUUGAAUACAUUAGCAUGGAAUAAUGAAAUAGGACAUCCGAUUCUAUUUUGUUGGUUUCUAGGAUCGAUGUAAUGAUUAAUAGGGAUAGUUGGGGGCAUUAGUAUUCAAUUGUCAGAGGUGAAAUUCUUGGAUUUAUUGAAGACUAACUACUGCGAAAGCAUUUGCCAAGGAUGUUUUCAUUAAUCAAGAACGAAAGUUAGGGGAUCGAAGACGAUCAGAUACCGUCGUAGUCUUAACCAUAAACUAUGCCGACUAGGGAUCGGAUGAUGUUAAUUUUUUAAUGACUCAUUCGGCGCCUUACGGGAAAC
This 550-nucleotide ribosomal RNA is filed under the name uncultured Funneliformis. RNAcentral describes it as "SSU rRNA". It matches the Rfam family "Eukaryotic small subunit ribosomal RNA", at positions 548 to 1098 of the family's 1831-position model. The record is from RNAcentral. Lineage: Eukaryota; Fungi; Glomeromycota; Glomeromycetes; Glomerales; Glomeraceae.